GGGCGUAAGGGCUCGCAGGCGGUUUCUUAAGUCUGAUGUGAAAGCCCCCGGCUCAACCGGGGAGGGUCAUUGGAAACUGGGGAACUUGAGUGCAGAAGAGGAGAGUGGAAUUCCACGUGUAGCGGUGAAAUGCGUAGAGAUGUGGAGGAACACCAGUGGCGAAGGCGACUCUCUGGUCUGUAACUGACGCUGAGGAGCGAAAGCGUGGGGAGCGAACAGGAUUAGAUACCCUGGUAGUCCACGCCGUAAACGAUGAGUGCUAAGUGUUAGGGGGUUUCCGCCCCUUAGUGCUGCAGCUAACGCAUUAAGCACUCCGCCUGGGGAGUACGGUCGCAAGACUGAAACUCAAAGGAAUUGACGGGGGCCCGCACAAGCGGUGGAGCAUGUGGUUUAAUUCGAAGCAACGCGAAGAACCUUACCAGGUCUUGACAUCCUCUGACAAUCCUAGAGAUAGGACGUCCCCUUCGGGGGCAGAGUGACAGGUGGUGCAUGGUUGUCGUCAGCUCGUGUCGUGAGAUGUUGGGUUAAGUCCCGCAACGAGCGCAACCCUUGAUCUUAGUUGCCAGCAUUCAGUUGGGCACUCUAAGGUGACUGCCGGUGACAAACCGGAGGAAGGUGGGGAUGACAUCAAAUCAUCAUGCCCCUUAUGACCUGGGCUACACACGUGCUACAAUGGACAGAAC
This 683-nucleotide ribosomal RNA is filed under the name Bacillus subtilis. RNAcentral's name for it is "bacterial SSU rRNA". It matches the Rfam family "Bacterial small subunit ribosomal RNA", at positions 556 to 1240 of the family's 1533-position model. Lineage: Bacteria; Bacillati; Bacillota; Bacilli; Caryophanales; Bacillaceae. The record is from RNAcentral.